RNAcentral lists this ribosomal RNA (253 nucleotides) under uncultured bacterium. RNAcentral describes it as "partial 16S ribosomal RNA". It matches the Rfam family "Bacterial small subunit ribosomal RNA", at positions 524 to 776 of the family's 1533-position model. The record is from RNAcentral.
UACGUAGGGCGCGAGCGUUGUCCGGAAUUACUGGGCGUAAAGGGCUCGUAGGCGGCCAACUAAGUCGGAUGUGAAAUCCCCAGGCUCAACUUGGGAACUGCAUCCGAUACUGGAUGGCUUGAAUUCGGGAGAGGGAUGCAGAAUUCCAGGUGUAGCGGUGAAAUGCGUAGAUAUCUGGAGGAAUACCGGUGGCGAAGGCGGCAUCCUGGACCGACAUUGACGCUGAGGAGCGAAAGCUAGGGGAGCAAACGGG